RNAcentral lists this ribosomal RNA (999 nucleotides) under uncultured bacterium. RNAcentral describes it as "bacterial SSU rRNA". It matches the Rfam family "Bacterial small subunit ribosomal RNA", at positions 355 to 1375 of the family's 1533-position model. The record is from RNAcentral.
UGGGGAAUAUUGCACAAUGGAGGAAACUCUGAUGCAGCGAUGCCCCGUGAGGGAAGAAGGUUUUAGGAUUGUAAACCUCUGUCUUCCGGGACGAAAAAAGACGGUACCUGAGGAGGAAGCUCCGGCUAACUACGUGCCAGCAGCCGCGGUAAUACGUAGGGAGCGAGCGUUGUCCGGAAUUACUGGGUGUAAAGGGAGCGUAGGCGGGAUCGCAAGUCAGAUGUGAAAACUAUGGGCUUAACCCAUAAACUGCAUUUGAAACUGUGGUUCUUGAGUGAAGUAGAGGUAAGCGGAAUUCCUAGUGUAGCGGUGAAAUGCGUAGAUAUAAGGAAGAACACCAGUGGCGAAGGCGGAUUACUGGACGGUAACUGACGGUGAGGCGCGAAAGCGUGGGGAGCAAACAGGAUUAGAUACCCUGGUAGUCCACGCCGUAAACGAUGAUUACUAGGUGUGGGGGGACUGACCCCUUCCGUGCCGCAGCAAACGCAAUAAGUAAUCCACCUGGGGAGUACGACCGCAAGGUUGAAACUCAAAGGAAUUGACGGGGGCCCGCACAAGCAGUGGAGUAUGUGGAUUAAUUCGAAGCAACGCGAAGAACCUUACCAGGUCUUGACAUCGUAUGCAUAGCUCAGAGAUGAGUGAAAUCUCUUCGGAGACAUAUAGACAGGUGGUGCAUGGUUGUCGUCAGCUCGUGUCGUGAGAUGUUGGGUUAAGUCCCGCAACGAGCGCAACCCUUACUGUUAGUUGCUACGCAAGAGCACUCUAGCAGGACUGCCGUUGACAAAACGGAGGAAGGUGGGGAUGACGUCAAAUCAUCAUGCCCUUUAUGACUUGGGCUACACACGUACUACAAUGGCGUUAAACAAAGAGAAGCAAGACCGCGAGGUGGAGCAAAACUCAGAAACAACGUCCCAGUUCGGACUGCAGGCUGCAACUCGCCUGCACGAAGUCGGAAUUGCUAGUAAUCGUGGAUCAGCAUGCCACGGUGAAUACGUUCCC